Molecule: ribosomal RNA, 656 nt
Filed under: uncultured Bacilli bacterium
Lineage: Bacteria; Bacillati; Bacillota; Bacilli
Description: bacterial SSU rRNA
Rfam family: Bacterial small subunit ribosomal RNA
Source: RNAcentral
AGGAGCUUGCUCUUCUUGGAUGAGUUGCGAACGGGUGAGUAACGCGUAGGUAACCUGCCUUGUAGCGGGGGAUAACUAUUGGAAACGAUAGCUAAUACCGCAUAACAAUGGAUGACCCAUGUCAUUUAUUUGAAAGGGGCAAAUGCUCCACUACAAGAUGGACCUGCGUUGUAUUAGCUAGUAGGUGAGGUAACGGCUCACCUAGGCGACGAUACAUAGCCGACCUGAGAGGGUGAUCGGCCACACUGGGACUGAGACAUGGCCCAGACUCCUACGGGAGGCAGCAGUAGGGAAUCUUCGGCAAUGGGGGCAACCCUGACCGAGCAACGCCGCGUGAGUGAAGAAGGUUUUCGGAUCGUAAAGCUCUGUUGUAAGUCAAGAACGAGUGUGAGAGUGGAAGGUUCACACUGUGACGGUAGCUUACCAGAAAGGGACGGCUAACUACGUGCCAGCAGCCGCGGUAAUACGUAGGUCCCGAGCGUUGUCCGGAUUUAUUGGGCGUAAAGCGAGCGCAGGCGGUUUGAUAAGUCUGAAGUUAAAGGCUGUGGCUCAACCAUAGUUCGCUUUGGAAACUGUCAAACUUGAGUGCAGAAGGGGAGAGUGGAAUUCCAUGUGUAGCGGUGAAAUGCGUAGAUAUAUGGAGGAACACCGGUGGC